Molecule: unclassified non-coding RNA, 337 nt
Filed under: Hevea brasiliensis (rubber tree)
Lineage: Eukaryota; Viridiplantae; Streptophyta; Magnoliopsida; Malpighiales; Euphorbiaceae
Source: RNAcentral
UUCAACAACUUCUCUAAGGAAUACACGAAACUGCCAUUGUUAUCAGAUUUUUCCUGGUCAAGCAUACCUACGAUCGUACGGAUAAGUUCCUCUAUGACAACUGUUGUCUCAUACACAACCCCAAUUGCUGACUGAGCAAUUUUCAUCUCUUCAGGUGACAGGUCAUCAUCUUCUCCUUGCAACCCAGCUUCUGUUAUGGGAGGACCACCAUCAGAAGCCUCAUCCAUCAGAAUGGAGGAAGCUGGCUUGAGCUCCUUCAUCUCACAAAGAACUUUCUUCACUGAACCUGCAAAUUGUUUCAUUUCUUUCCCAAUUGCUGUGAUAUUUGUGGCAGGGG